RNAcentral lists this ribosomal RNA (329 nucleotides) under Strongyloides venezuelensis. RNAcentral's name for it is "SSU rRNA". It matches the Rfam family "Eukaryotic small subunit ribosomal RNA", at positions 72 to 432 of the family's 1831-position model. Lineage: Eukaryota; Metazoa; Nematoda; Chromadorea; Rhabditida; Strongyloididae. The record is from RNAcentral.
GUUUUAAACAUGAAACCGCGGAAAGCUCAUUAUAACAGCUAUAGACUACACGGUAAAUAUUUUAGUNGGAUAACCGAUGUAAUUCUUGAGCUAAUACACGCUUUUUAUACCACAUUAGUGGUGCGUGGAUUUGAUGAAACCAUUUUUUCGGUUGACUCAAAAUAUCCUUGCUGAUUUUGGUAUUAAAACAUACCGUAUGUGUAUCUGGUUUAUCAACUUUCGAUGGUAGGGUAUUGGCCUACCAUGGUUGUGACGGAUAACGGAGAAUUAGGGUUCGACUCCGGAUAGGGAGCCUGAUAAACGGCUCCACAUCCAAGGAANGCAGCAGG